UACGGAGGGUGCAAGCGUUAUCCGGAAUCACUGGGUUUAAAGGGUGCGUAGGCGGUGGCGUAAGUCAGUUGUGAAAUUCCCCGGCUUAACCGGCGGGACUGCGAUUGAUACUGCGUUACUUGAAUCAGGUUGAGGUAGGCGGAAUGUGACAUGUAGCGGUGAAAUGCUUAGAUAUGUCAUAGAACACCAAUUGCGAAGGCAGCUUACUACACAGUAAUUGACACUGAGGCACGAAAGCGUGGGGAUCAAACAGG
Molecule: ribosomal RNA, 254 nt
Filed under: uncultured bacterium
Lineage: Bacteria
Description: partial 16S ribosomal RNA
Rfam family: Bacterial small subunit ribosomal RNA
Source: RNAcentral